CACUGCCUGCAUCCACAUUCAACAGACACAUUUUUGCGACACCACAGAGAGACAUAACAAGCAGCUAACUCAAAGAAGAACAACAACAACUGAAAAUGUCAUGAAAUUGGGAAAACAAUUCGUCAGCGCCUUACCCUCCAGGCAGAGGACAAGAUCAACCAGACAGUCAACACAGAUGGAAGUGUAUUUUGAAAGAAGACAAUGCAUGGAACAGGCAGAACUUGACACGGUGUCCCAGAACGUCAAUAACCAACGCACCCAGGGUACCUUACAAGUCGUAUCUGGAGGUGGAAAGACCGUGACCAAAUGUCGAUAUGUGAUGAGGUCAGAUUGUGUUGUUGCUUGGCUGUAACUUUUCUGUAUGUUGCUGUCUUGGCCAGAGAUACUUCUCAACGGGACUUACCUGCUUAAAAAUCACGCCUCCCUCUCAGCCCAUUCAGUCUGCUCAUUACCUGCACCUGGUUUUCCCCGCCCAUCUCCACACCUGAGGCUCAUUCUCCCAUCAGUCCUUCAGAAUACAUAUCAGUCCAUUUUCCCCUGCUCCUGCCAGGUUGUCUUGUGUUUCUGCCAAGCUACUUUCCUUUUUUGCCUGAUCACCUGUUUUUGACCCUGCCUGCCUGUUCUUUGGACUCUGGAUUCCCUUCCUGCCCCUUGUCUGAUUUGUUUGCUGGCUGGACUGAUUUCCUGGUUUUGACUCUGCCUGAACUGAUCUAGUAAAGUUGACUUUCCCUGCAACUCUAUUGCCUCUUUGUCAGGCAUUUGGGUUCAGACCUGUACUGGUGAAUCUUACAGGCACUGACUUAAACUGCUGCAGUGCAUGUGUCGAAAAUAGUCAUUUAAAGUACAUGAAAUUGUUUAAAUGUGUGUUUUUUCCACUGCUGAUGAGAGCUGCUGAUACUUGGGCAAAUCCUUAAUGUUGAUGAAGAUCAUUUGGUGUGAUUGAAAGCGCCAAAGCAGGUAUUAAAUGGACAUUGUGCUAAGAUUGUUUUCUCUGUAUUAGUGUAGUUUUUCUCCUUGGAUAAGCUUUACCACUUUAGCUCCUGUGGUUU
This is a long non-coding RNA of Epinephelus moara (kelp grouper), 1049 nucleotides long. RefSeq lists it as uncharacterized. The record is from RefSeq and is a predicted model, not a curated record. NCBI's taxonomy places the organism in Eukaryota, Metazoa, Chordata, Actinopteri, Perciformes, Serranidae. The transcript is spliced from 4 exons.